Molecule: ribosomal RNA, 213 nt
Filed under: Hypentelium nigricans (northern hog sucker)
Lineage: Eukaryota; Metazoa; Chordata; Actinopteri; Cypriniformes; Catostomidae
Description: partial 16S ribosomal RNA
Source: RNAcentral
AAGAGGGAACUGUGGUCACCAAAAGUAAGCAAGAAAAUCCCACGAACAGACGCCAAAUCGUUAACCCUACACUGGAGUGCCAUUUUAAAGGAAAGACUAAAAGAAAAGGAAGGAACUCGGCAAACAAAAGCCUCGCCUGUUUACCAAAAACAUCGCCUCCUGCAAAGAUCUAAGUAUAGGAGGUCCAGCCUGCCCAGUGACUAUGGGUUUAAC